This is a long non-coding RNA of Marmota monax (woodchuck), 2118 nucleotides long. RefSeq lists it as uncharacterized. The record is from RefSeq and is a predicted model, not a curated record. The transcript is spliced from 3 exons. Lineage: Eukaryota; Metazoa; Chordata; Mammalia; Rodentia; Sciuridae.
CCCCUGCGCGCCCGCGGACAAGCGGGUGCACACUCACGCGCUCCGUCGCCUCUAGUAUCCAGCUCCGAGGCGCCCCGGGCGGCAGGCCGGCCUGGGAGGGCGGCGGCACCCAGUCCCCAUCAGCUGGCACCACGGGGACCAACGGUCAGAAGGACGCGGUUCUGCACGCGCCAUUCUCGCCCGUCACGCGUCCCAGCGGCGCCUGUUACAAGCGACUCGCCCGCCGCCCUUGGGAAGUCCUAGAUCCUGCUCCGCCGAGCUGCAGUCGCAGAGGUCAGGAGGCGUCCGAAGUUCUGGGGGCCGCCACCAACUUCGCGCCGCAGCCAGUUGCAGAAAGGGCGACCCGGGCACGUCCGCCUUUGCACACCAGCCGGCAACUGGCUGAGCGAGCGGCCAGGCCCGCGGACGCCACGGGCCGCCCAGGCAGCCGCUGGAGCGCGUCCCGAGAGGCGCCGCAUUCUAAGAGGUUGCCGCCUCAACGGCUCUUCAGCGGGAGCGGGCACUGCAGAGGACCACCGCGGACAGUACGCGCCUUGCGGGCGGGAUCUGCACCUGCAUCUGGGGCCUUGGGGCAGUAGGCAAUGCAGUGAACCAUUCAGCCAAAGAGAGCACAGGACGCAGCACCUAUUUCAAUAAUAUUAAAGCUCUCAUAGGAGAGACGAUUAAUACAAUAGAAGCAGAUGGAGAUACAAGGAAGCCAAAUGAUCAUGAAACGUUGAAAGAGAACAGCGGGGAGUUGACAGGACUCCACAAUGGGAAGGAGGAGUGAACAUCCUGUGGAUCUCACUGAAGAGCUUCCAAAUUAGAGCCAUAGAUUCCUGAAACUACAAGUGGAAGAGGCUUUGUUCUGAUUGCACUGUCUUGUGGAAGGCUUCUGAUUGCACAGAACCCAGGGAGGGCCUGACAACACUGAAGUCAGAGCAAGAAGAUGCUGUCCACACAUCAUGGAGUCCAAGGUGGAGGGAGAGCAGUGCACCCACUCUCUGCAGGUUCAGGAUGUGCAGCAGCAUCACCUUCUCUUCCUCACCGUCAACAUCUGGAUAACAGGGCACAGCGAGGACUGGAUACUUCAAGAAUGUUUUGUCCGGGAUGAGUGUGUGCCCCACCAGUGUGGGGAGAUGCAGGGAGAAUAAGAACCUUCUGCAACAGAAUCCAGUUUACAGGAAGAAGAAGAAGAACAGAUACUAAGAGGAAGAGGGGAACUGUGAGAUUAGGAUGGAGGCCAGUGAAUGGUCCAUGACUGGCAGCACAAUAACCAUGGGGGAAUUGGGAAGAGAGGCUCUUCUUUGCUGCCUAUGAGGGUUCCCAGAUGCAGUCUGAAGUGUGGGUUGUGGGACAACAGAAUGGUACAGAUUGAAGUUGGGUGGGAGAUGGAUUGGGGGGCCUGUCCCUUUGCUGGCUGCUUACAGCCAUGGACUUGAGGUAUGGGCAGGAGCUGUCACUGGAAGCAGGAGAAGAUGGAAAAAUCACCGCCAUAGAAGGGGGGGUAGUGUCCAUGGCCGUGUCCUCAGGCAGCACAGUGGGAUGCUGGGAAAGAUGAGCUGAUGACUUUGCUAUGGUGGUUGGGGGGACACUCCUAGCAGAGUCCUGGCCCUGGGUAUUGGGGCUAUGAGUGGAAGGGACUAGAGCAGGUCUUGGAAGGAAUGAGGAGAAGGAGGAAGAGGAGCAGCAGGAGGAGCAGCCAAAGGAGAGGGAUUAUUAGGAGGAGGAAGAGGAGGAGGAGGAGGGAAUGGAGAAGGGGAAAGAGAAGAAAAUGAAGGGGGAAGAGAAGGAGGAGGAAGAGAAAGAGGAGAAGGAGAAUCAAUACACAUGGGGGUUGGGGAUUCCAUUCUUGAAGAGGUAGACUUGGAGGGGAAAGGGACCUGGGUAUGAGGUGUGGGAAUUUGGGAAUUGGGAGGUGCCACAGGUCUUGCCAGGUGUGUGGUUUGAUGAAACACAUUAGGGGUAACACCCACACUGGGACUGGGCCUGAAGGAAAAAAGAGGGUUAGUGGGAGGAGGCAGAGGAAUGGAAGUUGGGAUUUCCCCCUCAUCUUUAUUAGGUGAGGUGGAAGGUCGAGGGAUAGAUAGGUUCAGGGGCCCAGUAGGCUGGAACUCCAACUGCCUGUUGACAAGGAUA